RNAcentral lists this long non-coding RNA (312 nucleotides) under Elaeis guineensis (African oil palm). RNAcentral's name for it is "long non-coding RNA (EGUI_LNC028620)". The record is from RNAcentral. Lineage: Eukaryota; Viridiplantae; Streptophyta; Magnoliopsida; Arecales; Arecaceae.
AUCAUUUGACCACGUGGCAACAGCUUAUUAUCUAAAUUAUGAAUAUUCUUCUGGGUCAUGUCAGCUGUUUACCGAUCUGCAUCUUCAGCUUAUCGUUCUGUCGACCUAACUUUGCUAGAGUUGAUCUUUUUUGAAAAGUAUAAUGCUUAUUUUAACUUUCUGUCGAUCUACCGUAAACUACAUCGAUCUUUUAUUGAUAUGAUUAUAAGGCAUUAAGGAUACUUGAUACUCAAUUUAGUCAAUUUCCAAUCUAAGAUGAGUCACAUCAGUUAUGCACUGAUGUAAAUUUUGGGAUGCAAAUGAUUAUCUCGC